Molecule: long non-coding RNA, 184 nt
Organism: Actinia tenebrosa (Australian red waratah sea anemone)
Lineage: Eukaryota; Metazoa; Cnidaria; Anthozoa; Actiniaria; Actiniidae
Source: RefSeq, a predicted model, not a curated record
UAUUUUUCACAGACUUGCUAGUUACGACGAAAUCGAUGACAAGCCAAGAUACUCAACACCAAUACACAGACCAGAUUUGGACGAACAUCGAGGGCCAAUACAUCACCAUUACCCAUCUAGUCGAUCUGAAGAACCUUUUCMAACGGUAAGUUUUCUUUUUCUCAUUUUAUUCGAUUUUUUUUUU